This 1080-nucleotide long non-coding RNA is filed under the name Nicotiana benthamiana. Its description in RNAcentral is "long non-coding RNA (NBEN_LNC036491)". The record is from RNAcentral. Lineage: Eukaryota; Viridiplantae; Streptophyta; Magnoliopsida; Solanales; Solanaceae.
UAGACCUUCCUCUUACUGGAGCGAAGGGAUUAGCCUAUUUUCACCCUAAAAAUUCUCUGAAUAUACAGAAAAAGAAAAAGAAAAGCUUCCUGCAAUUUUGUUAUUCUAAAAUUAGUUUUGGGCUAGAGUUCCUAUCUUAGUUCACUCGAGGGCUAUUUAUUUCUGAUUCUGGAAAUUCAUGUCAGCUGUUCUUUGUGUUCUUGGUUGAUUUUUGUUGUGCUGUUUUGUUCCUGCCGAUUGUCUCCUUCAUCGUUUCGAUUAGAGGUUUAUUUUGUCUCACUUUGAUUCUGGUUGUUAUAGGUAUGUAGUUCCUUUAUCUAAUAUCCUUCAUGAUUCAUAAAUGAGAUAUGGUAUUUGAUUAGAAAUAUGUUUGAUGUUUCUGGCUAUAGUUUUCUACACUUGUUUCAAGUUCACUUUGGUUGUCUUCAAUGAAUGGUGUUCCUCUAAAGUUCCAGACCAGCUGCUUUCUUGUAAAAAUUACUUUUGCCAUGCUUUGUAUGUGAAUCAUGCCUCAUGAGUUAUACUAAGUUGAUCAUUUCCUUGAUACUAACUACCUUGUUGUCAUGUGGUGCUAAAUGGACUUCCGUUGUCAUGAGACUUUUAUUUUUCUUUUCUGAUUGUAUGUGAGUUGUAACAAGAGAAGAAAAUCUCAAAGUUAUUUGGGAGUUGGAACCAAAUGCUUACUUGCAAAGAAAGCUUUGUAGCUGGUUUUUGCAGUCUGAAGCUUACUGAAGGAUUUGCAACAAAUGAAAAGCCCAAAACCAUGUUGAACAUCAUUUGAAACAGUUUUCUAAGAUGUGUUGUAAUUUAGAUCUAUGGACCAUUCUGAUUUUUGUAUAAAGUUAGUAUGGAGUAGAUUGUAAAAAUUUUAAAGUUGAUUGCUGUGGUUGAUAGUUGAGGUUUAAAGUAUCAUAGUAAAGUUUAUGUUAAAUAGCCCUAUUAGUUCAUAUGGUCCUUAUUAGAGGAUGUCAGACGUGUACUGUGUAUGUCUAAAAUGGGACAUAUUUGAUUAUUGAGUAUGCUUAGCUAAAUUAUUUUGCAUUUCAACAUAUUUAAAGUUAUUUUAUAUGUAAGGUUAAG